AACGAGACCUUAACCUGCUAAAUAGCCCGUAUUGCUUUGGCAGUACGCUGGCUUCUUAGAGGGACUAUCCGCUCAAGCGGAUGGAAGUUUGAGGCAAUAACAGGUCUGUGAGGCCCGUAGAUGUUCUGGGCCGAACGCGCGUUACACUGACGGAGCCAGCGAGUACUUACUUGACAGAGAUGUCCGGGUAAUCUUGUGAAACUCU
This 205-nucleotide ribosomal RNA is filed under the name Microdochium sp. RNAcentral's name for it is "partial small subunit ribosomal RNA". It matches the Rfam family "Eukaryotic small subunit ribosomal RNA", at positions 1334 to 1563 of the family's 1831-position model. Lineage: Eukaryota; Fungi; Ascomycota; Sordariomycetes; Xylariales; Microdochiaceae. The record is from RNAcentral.